This 11779-nucleotide long non-coding RNA is filed under the name Lactuca sativa (garden lettuce). Its description in RNAcentral is "long non-coding RNA (LSAT_LNC008646)". The record is from RNAcentral. Lineage: Eukaryota; Viridiplantae; Streptophyta; Magnoliopsida; Asterales; Asteraceae.
GAGGAGUUGCAGUGGACUCAUCAAUCUCCUUAAGCUCCUUGUCAAGGACAUAUUCUUUGUCCUCGUAGCGGGUAAUCAUCCUGAUGUUUCUGAUCCACUCAUUGAAGUUGGAUCCAUCAAUGGUGACUUUCCCACACAAGUUCAUAAGGGUAAACGAACCAUUAGGAUUAGAGCCAGAAGCAGCAUUGUUAGAAGAUAUCUGAAAGAAGAGAACAAGAUUAGUUUAGAUAUUAAGAAGUCCUUAAUAAAACACCCAAAUGUAAUAUUAAGGCUAGGAUCCAAUCACAAUAUAAUAUAACUUAGAAGAGGUAUGCCGUAAUCUAAGCUAUAUCAUAUUUGAAAGGUAGGUGAAUGACGAUUCACCAAUUUCCACCACGAAAACCGCAAUAUUUUAGUAUUAGGUUUUUGAAUGGUUCUUAGAAAUUCCUAGAUUCUUUGAGAUUCAAUGAACUUUUCAAAGGCAUGUUUCAAUCUCGAGUGUGCCCUCCAAGUUUUGUGACUGGGAUACCGAGGAUCACAAAACGAGGUGUGAAGUAACCAUGCAAAUCACUUGGUACCCUUAAAGUUUAUCACUCAAUCGAUGUGCCGGUUAACCACACACGCUCCAUCGAUACUAUAAUAAACCCUAAGUCACCCUUUACCUACCUUGUUAAGUCCAAGUUAGUGUGCCGGUUAACCACACACGCUCCACCAACGACUUAAUCAAAGUGUAAAGUGUAAUUUCAUGGAAUAGCACCUUAUUCACAUUUUUCCUAAAGUAACUAAGAUUGGGAAUUUAAUAAAACAUUUAGUUACUUUAUAAUAUUCAUCAUACUUUGAAUGAGAAUUAAUAAGUCCUUGUCUUACCCGUUCGGCUAACGACCCUCCACCGAUCAAGCAAGCGGUGGGUGAGAGUGGACACCCAUUAAGUCACCAUUUUAUAGGCAACAACCUUAUACCCACCUUAUAGACCGGCUUCGUGAAUGAGGCGUACUAGCGGUAAGACGACUUUGUUCUUAUACAUAUAUAUAUAAUUAUUAAAUCAUAAUAAUAUAAGUAUAAGGGUUGAAUUUUAACUUUUAAAAUUCUAGGGGUUGGAACUAAAGUUUUAACUUAACUUUACUUGUUCCAAAACUUGAGGGCAAGUUUUGUAAACUUUCAAAACUUUUCAUUUCUUGUAACUUAUGAGUUUAAUAGAGUAAUAAAAUGAGGACUUUUCAUUUUUCCUAACUCUUGUGUUCUUUUAAUGGUUUUUAAUCCAAGAGACUUUUGGUUUUCCAUAACUUGAGGACAAGUUAUGGACUCCAUUAAAACACAUUAUGAUCAUGAAUUAAUCUACCACAUAGGUUACAAAUAAUUCCUAUGAUCAUCUAAACAUCAUAAGAACAAGAAUAUGAAUAUGAACACUUUCAAGAAUCAAAAUCACAUUUAAUCUUUGUAAUUUUGAUAACUAGUUGUUGUAAAUGAGUUAGAAAAGACAUUACACCUUCUAAAAUAAGUUUUCAAGUACCAAAACAUUUUAGGGUAAUGAUUCUAAUCCAUUUCCAGCAACUCAAGUCGAAAUUCUGCACUCUGUCGACCCUACUCGCCGAGUGCAUAAACCUACUCGCCGAGUAGGUUGAAGAUACACAUGAACUCGACGAGUCCUCCCCAUGGACUCGCCGAGUCCAUCAGUCAGACAGCANAGUAAGUGACCGACUCGGCGAGUCGGCUAAGGGGACUCGGCGAGUCUGGUCUGAACGAGGAAAACCCUAAUCCCGGGAGUUGUAUCCUAUAUAAAGGGUGUUAUGUCCCUCCCUCAGCCUCCAUAUCAUCCUAGAGAACCUGUAAACCCUAGAUUUCGUGUGAGCUUCCAUCAUUUGAGAGAAAUAGCUUUGGAGGAAGGAAACUUUGGAAAGGAACUUGAAGAUCAAGAAGGUUGCUUCAAAGGAGAGGUGUAGAUCCGAGAUCUACUUCAGUUUGUGUUCAUCUUGGAGGUAAUAAGCUGCUAUUUUCCCUCCUUUGCAUCUAGAUCUAUUUUUGUUAUGAGAUUUGGGGGUUUUAUGGUUGUUUGAGACCCAAUUCGAGUUUGGGGCUUAGAUAUGUUGUUGCCACUUCAGAUCUAGUGUUGGGAUGGUCCAAUAUGUCGUAAAGCAUCAGAAGAUGAGUAGUUGGUGAAGCCUUUUUGUCCUUAAACCUAGCCCUAGAGUGUUUUGAGCCUAGAUCUCUUUAGUUAUAUGUAAAGUUUGCAACUUUACGUGAGGAUUGAGCUUUGGAACUAUUAAUCUAUGAUUUGGAGCCCCUGCAUGGCUUGAAAAGCCACUAUAUGGAUUAAGAACUGGAGCGACUCGGGGAGUCACAUGGGUGGACUCGGCGAGUUGGAUGAAGUUGGGCAGGAACUCGGCGAGUUGGAAGAACAACUCGGCGAGUCUGUUGAAGAUUGCCUUGGACUCGGCGAGUCAAGUCGCGAAAUCCCAAACCCUUCGAGUUGAGACUCGAAUCAGUGAGUCGAGUGGAGGCUCGGGGGGGGGGGNUCGGUGAGUAGGGUUGACCUGGAAUGUUGACCUUGACCAGGACUUUGACUUUGACCAGACUUGACUUGGUUGACUGUCGGGGGUCAGUUAGACUAAGUGUUGCNCGACUUUGACCCGAGUUGAAAUAGUGGACUUUCGGGGGACAGUUAGACUAAGUGUUGCAUUGAUAUUGGUAGCUCGGGGAGCUAGUGGAGCAGGAGUUCAGAGAGUUGCCGGGCAACAACUAGAGGGGCUAUCAGCAAGUUCAGAAAGUGAAGGUGAGUUUCCCUUUGUGUGAAUGGGUCUAAGGCUACAGUGUCGGCCCAUGUAGUUAUGAGUAGAAGACCUGGGGGUUAGCCCUAGGUAUAGUAUGCUAGUAUGAUAUUCAGGACGAGGUCCAAUGAUAGCUGGUGGGUUCCCAAGGAAUGAUUUAUAUGAUAGUUUACACUUGUUGUCUGUGUGAUACUUGUAUGUGCCUGGUAGGGAGGUGAGUGUGGGCGAGGCCCCAUAAAUCACCAAUAGCAGAGUGUGGAUGGUGUUCCACAUCUCAUUAGGAGCAGAUCAGGGGCGAGGCCCAAGUUAGGGAAUGAGUGAGUGUAGGCUAGGCCCGUAUCUCACUAUUAGUAGGAGCAUGGACGGGGUUCCAUGACUCAUCAGUAGCAGGACAAGGGCGCGGCCCAGGAUAGCCGAGGCCUUAGGACAGGAUCCGUUAGUAUAUGUUUAGCUUAUUUGAUGUGAUAUGUUUAUGUGCUAUUAUAUGUUAGCGGGCGAGGCCUAGUGACAGGCGAGGCCUAAGUGAAAUAGAUUUGUAUCCGAGCGGGGCUCGAAGCCGGGCGAGGCCUGGAGCGACGGGGCCAUUGUAGCGGGCGAGGCCCAGAAUAGUGGGCAUUGCCCAGUAUGUGUAGUAUGUGGUUAUGUAUGGUAUGUGGUAGGGUGGAGAACUCACUAAGCUUCGUGCUUACGGUUUUCAGUUUUGCUUUCAGGUACUUCCGGUAGCGGAGGGAAGAGCUCGGGGUGAUCGCAUGGUACACACCAUAGAUUAGAUAGCCUGGGAAUGUUUUACUCUGAUAACGAACAUGUGUUUUUGGAAAUUAAUACUCUGAUUAUGUUUUGGAUUGAUGAUUUUGCUUUAAGUAAUGUUUUAUUAAAAGAAAUUUUUAGUCUUGAAUUUUGGGAUGUUACAAGUUGUAUCAGAGCCUUAGUUUGAGGGAUUCGGACGUACUCUCGGGUGCAUCUGAACUUAAACUAAGGAAUUGGUAUGGAAGUUUUCAAAAUGCAAAUACAGUUUUGUAAAAAGAGUUUGAGAAACAAAAACAGUUUUAGCAAAGCAAAAAGAAUUCAGAAAGAAAAGAAGUUUGAAAAGAAAAAAAGGGUGUGGUGCAUGCAAUCAGCCGAGCUCAAGUAAGUACCCUAAAAUACCCAUACAAGUUUAUGUUAUGAUUAUCAGUUAGUUGAACAGCAUGCUAGAUUAGGACUAAGGAUGCCUUAUGUGCCUAUUAUAUGUGCUUGAGCUGCAUGAUAGUGCUAAUUAGACAGUAGUAAGACAGCCUGUUUAGGUUAUGCCUGAGUUUUUGAGUUUGUGUUGCGUGCUAGUACAGAUUCUUGCUAUGUCGAUAUGAUUGCUUGAGUAUGUUAUGGUUAGAUUUUCCCUUGUCUGAAUGCAGCUUGCUUUGUGCAUUGUGGGAUUCUAAGUGAUGUGAGUUAGCCAUUAGUUGAAUACGCCACGUCACAUGUAAUCAGGUUGAAUAAUCUCAGAGUACUGGAUUUGGCCCUAUUAUGCAACUCUUGUCUGAGUCCAACCAUGGUUGGGACGAGUCUUUUACUCGAAGGAUUAUCCAAGCCUCGUCACAUGUGAUGGUAUUCAGGUGAUGGAUAAUUGGCAUCACAAGGAGGCCUUCAGCAGCUGAGGACUGGUUUGAGUUGAGUCGGACGUUCCCUAGGGUAAGCCUAGGAUGAGGUAGUACUGGGAUAAGUAGUAGUGGAGAAGGGACCUGGUGGAGUCGAAGCAAUUCUUAGGGAAAUUACGGAUAGAUGUGGAAGGUAGUAUAGGCACGUACUACUGAAAGCAGAGGAUCCGUACUCGAUUCGGGAAAGGCCGAGACAAGAUCGGGAACCUGGUAGUGCGUGUGUUUGGUCUCGUAGCAAUGAUAAGUAUUCCGAUAGUGGUUGUGGCAUAUUUCCAGCAUGGUGACGUUGCGAGAGAGGCCAGUGGGCGGAUCAGGCACCAGAGAGGGAUGAUGCUUGUGUUCAGGGGCCGAGCAGCUCGAGGAGCGAAUGAGGGAGUUGAUAUUAGUGGAGGUUACGCGUAGUAUUCUAGAUCAGGCUCCUGUGAUCUUUGGCACGGUCAAGGAGGGUAUACUAGAAAUUUUGGAUGAGAGGCUGGGAGCCUUCCGUACCGAGAUGAUGGCUUUGAUGGGAGUGCAUACCUUGAGAUUUCGAGAGUUCAGGGCUUGCGGGGCACCAGAUUAGCAUGGGGCUAGGGACCCCAUCGCUAGUAGCAGAUGGUUGGCUGAUGUAGCCAAUGCAUUCCGUACGAGCCGGUGUCCUGAGGAGGAAAAGGUCAGACUCGCCUCCUGUCUUCUGAAGGACAGAGCGAGGGAUUGGUGGGAGGAGAUGGGUCAUGCUUUGGGGAUGAUGCCGCAUUGGACGCGAUGACAUGGAGCGAUUUCUCGACCAGGUUCAGGGCGGAGUUUUCGCCGAUUAUUGAGAUGCAGCAAUUGGCAUGGGAGUUUCAGGAUUUGACGUAGACCACUGAGACUGUGGCAGAGAUCAUCGCCGAGUUCAGGGAGAGGGCUCUUCUUGUACCGCAGUACGUCGCGGAUAAGGAUAUGAAGAAGGCCCGAUACCAUGAGAUGUUGAGGGAUGACAUCAGGCAGUUUGUGAGCAGGUCCAACUGCAAAACGUUGGAGGAUAUGAUCGCGCGAGCUAGAGAGAGAGACUGAUUUGGAGAAGAUCCGGAAGAGGAAGCCGGAUGAGGUUUAGGCAGCCACGGGCUCGGGUAAAAGGCCCAAGGGGUCGAAUUCGAGAUCGAGGGAUUAUCUGGACCGCAGCCGGUGCGGGAAGUGUGGCAGGAUGCAUGGGUGCGUGUGCAGGAGUGGUAGCGGUCGUGAGUCUGGCUGCUUCAAGUGUGGUCGGACUGGUCAUUUUAGCAGAGAUUGUACUGUUACCACCACAUAGGGAUCAGGCUUGAUAUGUUUUCACUGCAAUCAGCGGGGCCACAAGAAGGCCCAGUGCCCCAGUUUGCUUCCGGCAGGGCGGGUGAUGGCCCCUGCCCCUACAACCUUGAGGAUCACAGACAGCCGUCAGGGCCGUGUAGAGGCGCCUGCGGUAGGAGGCAUGGCUUUUCAGAUGACUACCUUGGUCUCGCAAGCAGCAUCGGACGUUGCAGGUGUGCGACUCCCGUUUUCAGUUCUUUUAUUUAUGCAUGAUUGUAUUGUUAUGGUUCUGCAUCAUUAUCGGUAUGAUUAUUUUAUUUUUGUACGGCUUGAUUAUGUUCUAGUUAUAUGCCAUCUGCAUACCUUGGAUAUUUGAAUGGUAGUUAAGGGAUGGGCUCUAUUGGAGAAGAUUACUUAGGAUGUAGUUGAUGGGUUUUGAGCAUUCUAACACUUCCUAAGUGUACAUGCAACCCUAAUAACCUUGGUUCUAUGUUUGUCUAAUUAUCAUGAAAAGUUGAAUUCCAAGGUUAUAUUCCUAUUUAGCAUACAUGGGGAACAAUUUUUAACUUGAAUGAAAGAUAGAAUAACUUACCUUGUUGUUGCUUAUGUUCCUUGAAACCUUGUGAGCCUAGCACCCCAAGUGUGAUGCCUCAAAUGCUUCACACAACACCAAAUGCUCUUGGAAAGACUUUUGAGAGAAUACACACUUCUUGAAAUCAGCCUAGCCCUCUAGUUUCAUAUGUGUAGCCGAUUUUGGUGGAGAAUGGGAUUCUUAUAUAGUGUUGACACAUCUAGGGUUACACCAUGUAAACCCUAAUGUGUCAUGACUCUUCAUUUCCAUGACCCAUGGGUUUGUAACUCCCAUGGAGCAUCCAUGGAGCAUCCUAUGGGUAGAACCCAACUUGAUAAUCCAUGGAGCCUCUUAGCCCACUAUACAAGAUAUGGAUGAUUUACAUAAUCAACCCAUAUAUUUAAUUAGUUAUCCUUUGAUCACUUAAUUAAUUCCAAAUUAAUUCUUUGAUCAACUAAUUAAAUAAUAUUAUUAAUAUAUUAGAACUUAUAAUAUAUUAAUAAUCUCCAAGUGUUAUUUCUCUCAUUUAGUCUAUCCAAUUGCAUGGUGCCAUGCAACCCAAAUGGACCAUGCCGGGUCGGGUCAAGUACUGACCAGAAAUAGUUAUGGAUUUAGACACCAUAUCCAACAGUCUCCCACUUGGAUAAGUCUAAUAACUAUAACUCCAAUUCUUCAGGAACCGGCCAGCAAUCGUAGCUCUUUCAAGGUAUCUCGUACUGAGAAGAUGUUGAUACGCCAUUUAAGAUAAGUGAUCAUAUAAUCCUCUGUUCUAGAUAUCAGCCGGACAAAUACAUGGAACAAUGUCUUACUUAUUGUCCAGCAGUUUGUUUCCCGAUUUCCGAUUUGUUUGACAAAGAACUUAAUUGAACACAUCAACUUAGUUCUGACCGGGCCCGGUACAUAGGUCAAAACAAAAUCAUCGAGGGGCCCAGAUAUCAGCUUCUAAUCCAAGAAGGAACAGAUAAACUUCGACUCAUAUGUUUGUUCUACCACUCAUUGAAUUACACACAAAAGUACGUUUUAUAACAUCGAGUUACCAAUGCGGUUUCGUACAGUCAAUGCAUAACCAACUUGUAAGUAACAAAUCAUAUCUCUAGGUUUGAAGACUUAUAUGAUAUUACCGUCUCACGAUCACUCGAGAUAGAAUUCCAUGAAGUGAUUCCAGUGAGCGUGGGUUGAGUCCAAUGCUCAGAACUUAUGAGCACUCAUGAUUGUUGUAGCCUUGUCCAACACCUUAGACCUCUACAACCCAUCAUGACAGUCUUGAUUCAUACCUACUUCCGACAUAUGACCGACUGUGGAGGUUUGAAUAAUAUGUUAUACCAAACAAAAUUAUUCUGGAAGUCAAAACAUGCAAAAGAAAUAUAGUAAACGAUCGACAAGAGAUAGCAACACUUUACUCAUAAAUAAAACACCUUUUAUUCAUCAUCUAAUGUCAAUUACACUUUACAAAUUUCUGGGUUAUCUAACUACUAAAACUUAUAUCAUCCUUCAGCCCUAUGCUCCGAGCAUGCUGGAGAUGCUUAACCCUACUCAGUCCCUUCGUGAGGGGAUCUGCUGGGUUCUCAUCCGAUGAUACCCUCUUUGCCACGAGGAGUCCUUCUUCGAUCCGAUGUCUAAUGAAAUGGUAUUUUCUGUCGAUGUGUCUGGAUCUCCCAUGAUCCCUUGGUUCCUUGGCUAAGGCAACAGCACUUUCACUAUCACAGAAAAUUUCCAUUGGCUCUUUAAUAGCUGGUACAACUCCAAGGUCUCCAAUGAAGUUCUUCAGCCAUAUCGCCUCCUUUGCUGCUUCACUAGCUGCAAUAUACUCUGAUUCACAAGUAGAAUCUGCCACUGUCUCUUGCUUGGAACUCUUCCAAGAAAUUGCUCCUCCGUUUAGGGUAAAGACCCAGCCCGACUGAGAGCGGAAAUUAUCCCUAUCAGUCUGGAAGCUAGCAUCACUAUACCCUACAACUCUCAAGUCAUCACUCCCACCGAGGGUAAGGACCCAGUCCUUAGUCCUCCGUAGGUACUUGAGGAUAUUCUUUACCGCAGUCCAGUGUGCCUUGCCAGGGUUCGCCUGAUACCUGCUAACCAUGCUCAAGGCAAAAGCUACAUCGGGUCGAGUACACGUCAUAGCAUACAUGAUCGAUCCUACAGCCGAAGCGUAAGGUGUUCGACUCAUUUCUGCUAUCUCAGCCUCAGUGCUAGGGCUUUGUGUCUUACUCAAUCUGGUGUUACUCUGGAUGGGUAACUCUCCUUUCUUGGAAUCCUGCAUGCUGAAUCUCUUCAGCACCUUAUCCAAGUAGGUACUCUGACUAAGUCCAAUUAGUCUUUUACUCCGAUCUCUCAAGAUUCUUAUCCCUAGAAUAUAGGCAGCUUCACCAAGGUCCUUCAUAGCGAAACACUUCCCAAGCCAGGACUUUACUUCCUGCAGGGUUGGAAUGUCGUUUCCUAUGAGUAGUAUGUCAUCCACAUACAAUACCAAAAAGCUAACUAUACUCCCACUAGCCUUGACAUACACACAAGAUUCAUCUUCACUCCUAGAAAAGCCAAAUUCCUUGACCUUUUCAUCAAAGCAAAGAUUCCAUCUGCGAGGUGCUUGCUUCAAUCCAUAAAUGGAUUUCUCAAGCUUACACACUCUAUUAGGGUACUCGUUGCUGACAAAACCCUCUGGCUGACUCAUGUAAACAUCUUCAGCCAACUUUCCAUUAAGGAAAGCGGUUUUGACAUCCAUCUGCCAUAUUUCAUAGUCAUGAAAUGCAGCUAUGGCUAACAGAACCCGAAUAGACUUAAUCUUGGCUACCGGAGAAAAGGUCUCAUCAUAAUCCACUCCAGGAAUUUGAGAGAAGCCCUUUGCAACCAGUCUAGCCUUAUAAGUGUGUACUUUACCAUCCAUGUCGGUCUUCUUCUUGAAGACCCAUUUGCACCCUACUGUCUUACGACCUGGUACAUUUUCAACCAAGUUCCAAACUUGAUUGUCAUACAUGGAUUGUAUCUCGCUAUCCAUAGCCUCUUUCCAUUUAGCAGACUCGGGGCCUGCCAUGGCUUCCUCGUAGCUGUUAGGGUCAUCUUGACUUACUAGUGUCUCAUCACUAAUAAGUGUCUCACCUUCUGCAGUAAUAUGGAAUCCAUAGUAAUGCUCAGGUGCACUCCUAACUCUCGUGGAACGUCUCAGAGGUACAGAUUUGUCAAUUGGCUCAACAGGAGUUUCCUCCUCAAGUUGAGGGCUAGAGUUUGAAGUUCCUUCACCGCUUGAUUCUUGAAUUUCUUCAAGAUCAAUUUGCCUCCCACUGUCUCCUUGGCUUAUAAACUCUCUUUCUCGAAAGACUCCUCUUCUUGCUACAAAGACCACAUUGUCACUAGGUCUGUAGAAGAGGUAACCAAAGGAUCGCUGUGGGUAACCGAUGAAAAUACACCUCUCGCUUCGAGGUUCGAGCUUAUCAUGAGUCUCGCGUCUCACGAAAGCCUCGCAACCCCAAAUCUUGAUGUGGUCUAGUUUAGGUACUUUACCAGUCCACAUCUCGUGAGGAGUUUUGGCAACUUUCUUUGUAGGGACUAGAUUAAGAAUAUGGGCGGCAGUCUCUAAGGCAUACCCCCAGAAUGAGAUUGGUAGCGUAGCUCGACUCAUCAUGGAACGAACCAUAUCUAACAAGGUUCGAUUACGCCUCUCAGCCACACCAUUCAACUGUGGUGUCCUGGGAGGUGUCAAUUGUGAGACUAUCCCACAUUCCCUUAGAUAGUCGAGGAACUCUGAACUAAGAUACUCACCACCACGAUCGGAUCGAAGCAUCUUAAUGUUCCUGCCCAAUUGAUUCUCGACUUCCUGUUUAAAUUCCUUAAACCUCUCGAAAGUCUCUGACUUAUGCUUGAUCAAGUAGACAUAUCCAUAUCUACUAUAAUCAUCAGUAAAAGUCAAAUAAUAACGAUUAGCAUCCCUUGUGGCAUGUUUGAAUGGUCCACACACAUCCGUGUGUAUAAGGUCCAACAAACCUUCACCCCUCUCACACGAACCUGUGAAGGGUGACUUUGUCAUUUUUCCAAGUAAGCAUGAUUCGCAACUAUCAUCUGACUUUAGGUCAAACGACUCCAAGACUCCAUCCUUUUGGAGUUGGCCUAUGCGUUUCUUGCUUAUAUGUCCAAGACGACAAUGCCAUAAAGAUGCUUUAUCCAAGUUAUUAUUAGUAGAAUCAAUACACAAAACAUUAUUUCCCAAGUUAUCUACAACAGAUACAGCUUCAUACACACCAUCACAAGGUAAUGCUUUAAAAUAAAAGACAUUAUUAUAGAAAACAUCUAUAGAACCAACUUCAUUAUUAAAUGAAAAGGUAAACCCUUGUUUGUACAAAGCAUGAAAGGAAAUAAUAUUUCUUGCCAUUCCUGGCGAAUAACAACACUUAUUCAAAUCUAAACUAAACCCACUACUUAGCGAUAAAGUAUAAACUCCAAUCUUGGUAACAGGUAUAGCUUUCCUAUUCCCCAUGAUCAAGUUUAUCCUUCCUUGCUCCACAUCCUCACUUCUUCUUAGUCCCUGCAAGUCACAACAAAUGUGAAUACCACACCCGGUAUCAAGGACCCAAGAAUUAGAAUGGGGUGAGUUAUUAGAAAUGAUAGUGUAAAUACCUGCAUGGUUGGGUUUAACUUUCCCAUCCUUCACAUCUUGCUGGUAUUUUGGGCAGUUCCGCUUCCAAUGAGCUUUUUCAUGGCAAUAGAAGCAUUCAGCCUCUUUUGGGUCAGAAGAAGGAGUAACGAAACCUUUCUUGGUUCCACUUGAAGAAGAGCCAUCAAGGGUCCGAGCCUUGGUACCCUUAGAAGAGCUCUUUCUCUUCCUCCCUCGACUUUUCCCGAUUGCCAAAACCGGAGUAGAGUUUUGAGUAGGAGUGAUAGCAACCGACUUCCCCUUAAGACCUGUUUCUGCGGUCUUGAGAAGUCCCUGAAGUUUGCUGAGGGUGACUUCUUCCUUGUUCAUGUGAUAUGUCAUGCGGAAUUGAUCAUAGCACGAUGGUAAGGAAUGCAAAAUAAUAUCUAUUGCAAGAUCCUCCGGGAAGUUCACAUUAAGCUUCAGCAAACGAUCCACAUACCUUUGCAUUUUCUGCAUGUGGCUCGUGACGGAUUCCCCGUCCUUCAUCAUGGUUGUUAUCAUGGAGCAGAUGAUUUCAUACCUCUCUUGUCUUGCACUUUGAUGGUAUCUUUCCAUCAAAUCUUGGUGCAUGUCAUAAGGGUAGAAAUCCUCAUAAGACUUUUGGAGUUCCGCUGUCAUCGUGGCCAUCAUGAUGCAAGCCACUUUCGUAGCAUCCCUUUCAUGUGCCCGAAAUUCAGCGAUCUCCUGAGGAGUUGCAGUGGACUCAUCAAUCUCCUUAAGCUCCUUGUCAAGGACAUAUUCUUUGUCCUCGUAGCGGGUAAUCAUCCUGAUGUUUCUGAUCCACUCAUUGAAGUUGGAUCCAUCAAAGGUGACUUUCCCACACAAGUUCAUAAGGGUAAAGGAGCCAUUAGGAUUAGAGCCAGAAGCAUUGUUGAAAGACAUCUGAAGGAAAGAGGACAAGAUUAGUUUAGAUAUAAGAGAGUCCUUAAUAAAACACCCAAAUGUAAUAUUAAGGCUAGGA